GUGCUCACUUAGACAGCACAUAUACUAAAAUUGGAACAACACAGAGAAGAUUAGUGUGGCCCUGUGAGAAGAUAAUACACAAAUUCAUGAAGCAUUCCAUAUAUAU
This 106-nucleotide small nuclear RNA is filed under the name Nomascus leucogenys (northern white-cheeked gibbon). Lineage: Eukaryota; Metazoa; Chordata; Mammalia; Primates; Hylobatidae. The record is from RNAcentral.